Molecule: long non-coding RNA, 217 nt
Organism: Aphis gossypii (cotton aphid)
Lineage: Eukaryota; Metazoa; Arthropoda; Insecta; Hemiptera; Aphididae
Exons: 3
Source: RefSeq, a predicted model, not a curated record
UGAAAAAAUAUUUAAUAUUUUUUUUAUUUUGACCUCUCUAGUACAACUAAAUUCUAUAUGCUAUCUAUAACCAUCUUCAAAUUAAAAAUGUGCAGUGAAUGUAAUGAUAGUGUGGUGCACAGACUACAGACAUAGAAGGAAACAGUUUGAAUAAAUCUGUGAUUAUUGGGAGUAAGGAGUACAGAAGAAACUGCAAUGAUAAGGAAGAAUUUAGGCG